RNAcentral lists this ribosomal RNA (425 nucleotides) under uncultured bacterium. RNAcentral's name for it is "partial 16S ribosomal RNA". It matches the Rfam family "Bacterial small subunit ribosomal RNA", at positions 354 to 796 of the family's 1533-position model. The record is from RNAcentral.
GUGGGGAAUCUUGCACAAUGGGCGAAAGCCUGACGCAGCCAUGCCGCGUGAAUGAUGAAGGUCUUAGGAUUGUAAAAUUCUUUCACCGGGGACGAUAAUGACGGUACCCGGAGAAGAAGCUCCGGCUAACUUCGUGCCAGCAGCCGCGGUAAUACGAAGGGGGCUAGCGUUGCUCGGAAUUACUGGGCGUAAAGGGCGCGUAGGCGGACAGCUUAGUCAGAGGUGAAAGCCCAGGGCUCAACCUUGGAAUUGCCUUUGAUACUGGCUGUCUUGAGUUUGGGAGAGGUGAGUGGAACUCCGAGUGUAGAGGUGAAAUUCGUAGAUAUUCGGAAGAACACCAGUGGCGAAGGCGACUCACUGGCCCAAUACUGACGCUGAGGCGCGAAAGCGUGGGGAGCAAACAGGAUUAGAUACCCUAGUAGUCC